GUCCACGCCGUAAACUAUGGGUGCUAGCCGUUGGGAAGCUUGCUUUUCAGUGGCGCAGCUAACGCAUUAAGCACCCCGCCUGGGGAGUACGGUCGCAAGAUUAAAACUCAAAGGAAUUGACGGGGCCCGCACAAGCGGUGGAGCAUGUGGUUUAAUUCGAAGCAACGCGCAGAACCUUACCUACCCUUGACAUGUCCAGUAUGGGUUCCAGAGAUGGGAUUCUUCAGUUCGGCUGGCUGGAACACAGGUGCUGCAUGGCUGUCGU
RNAcentral lists this ribosomal RNA (265 nucleotides) under uncultured bacterium. RNAcentral's name for it is "partial 16S ribosomal RNA". It matches the Rfam family "Bacterial small subunit ribosomal RNA", at positions 793 to 1055 of the family's 1533-position model. The record is from RNAcentral.